CACGUAGUUAGCCGUGGCUUAUUCAUUCGGUACCGUCACUUUCUUCGUCCCGAAUAAAAGAAGUUUACAACCCGAAAGCCUUCUUCCUUCACGCGGCGUUGCUGGGUCAGGCUUGCGCCUAUUGCCCAAUAUUCCCCACUGCUGCCUCCCGUAGGAGUCUGGGCCGUGUCUCAGUCCCAAUGUGGCCGGCCAACCUCUCAGUCCGGCUACUGAUCGUCGCCUUGGUGGGCCAUUACCCCGCCAACUAGCUAAUCAGACGCGAGCUCAUCUCAGAGCGAUAAAUCUUUGGCAUCCAAACCAUGCGACUCAGAUGCAUCAUGCGGUAUUAGCGGCUGUUUCCAGCCGUUAUUCCCCACUCCAAGGCAGAUUGCUCACGCGUUACUCACCCGUCCGCCACUUUCCUCAGCUUCCCUCAGACGAAUCCUUGUUCCACUGAUUCUCGUUCGACUUGCAUGUGUUAAGCACGCCGCCAGCGUUCAUCCUGAGCCA
RNAcentral lists this ribosomal RNA (489 nucleotides) under uncultured Oscillospiraceae bacterium. Its description in RNAcentral is "partial 16S ribosomal RNA". Lineage: Bacteria; Bacillati; Bacillota; Clostridia; Eubacteriales; Oscillospiraceae. The record is from RNAcentral.